AUACGGAGGAUCCGAGCGUUAUCCGGAUUUAUUGGGUUUAAAGGGAGCGUAGGCGGGAGAUCAAGUCAGCUGUGAAAUGUAGAUGCUCAACAUCUGCACUGCAGUUGAAACUGGUUUUCUUGAGUGCGUAAGGGGCAGGCGGAAUUCGUCGUGUAGCGGGGACAUGCUUAGAUAUGACGAAGAACUCCGAUCGCGAAGGAAGCCUGCCGGGCCGCGACUGACGCUGAAGCUCGAAGGUGCGGGUAUCGAACAGGAUUAGAUACCCUGGUAGUCCGCACAGUAAACGAUGGACACCCACGGUUUGGCCUGUAUGGCUGAGCCGCCAAGCGAAAGCGUUAAGUGUCCCACCUGGGGAGUACGCCGGCAACGGUGAAACUCAAAUGAAUGGACGGGG
RNAcentral lists this ribosomal RNA (394 nucleotides) under uncultured bacterium. Its description in RNAcentral is "partial 16S ribosomal RNA". It matches the Rfam family "Bacterial small subunit ribosomal RNA", at positions 523 to 918 of the family's 1533-position model. The record is from RNAcentral.